This 558-nucleotide long non-coding RNA is filed under the name Mytilus galloprovincialis (Mediterranean mussel). Lineage: Eukaryota; Metazoa; Mollusca; Bivalvia; Mytilida; Mytilidae. The record is from RNAcentral.
UUCAACAUGAUGACUAUAAACAAAAAGGAGUCAUAUCAUCACGAUCAUUGAUGCACAAGAACUUGAUCAUAUAAAUACAACAAUGUAAUUAUCAAUUGAAAGAUGGAACGAAUGAACAAGAUAUUAGAAUGUUGUUGUCCAAAUAAACUUGCUUUGUCUUCUCAUUUGAAUCUCUCGAUUCAAUAAAGAUGUACAGAGGAAGAUCUUUGAAGAACAGAUUGAAAAAAUGUUUUGUCUAAGAAUUGCAGGAAUAUUCUAGUGAAUGAAAUUAUUUAUUGACUUCACUCUUAUAUAGUGGACUGAAUAAUUGUACAUAGCAAGUUGUGAAUAAAGAAAGCAAAAACUUUAACAAAAAGUGUUUAUAUUAUAAAUUUGCAAAUAUAAGCAUACUAUUAUGUACACCACAAAGUUAUAUAUUAUAAUUCAAAUCGUUUGCCUAUACAAGUAUUGCAAUGAACCUAUAACAAAGAAAAUCUUACCUCAUGAAAAGAGUGAACUAUUCAGUCAGAAUAUGAAAUAUUUUUUCAGUUCUAUUUUUCAUAAUAGAAUAAACAAGAC